RUAGCAUAAUCAUUAGUUUUUUAAUUGGAAACUUGUAUGAAAGGUUGAACAAAAGAAGUUCUGUCUCUAUUUUUAAUAUUGAAUUUAACUUUUAAGUGAAAAGGCUUAAAUUUUUUAAGGGGACGAUAAGACCCUAUAAAGCUUUAUAAAAAUAUAAUAAUUUCUAAAAGUAGUUUAUAUUAUGAAUAUAUUGAUUUUUUAUUUUGUUGGGGCGAUUCAGAUAAAAUUAUAAUUAACUGUCAGGGUUAAACACAUAGAUUUAUGCAAAUUUAAAUGAUCCUAGUUAAAGAUUAAAAGACAAAGUUACUUUAGGGAUAACAGCGUUAUUUCUUUUAAGAGUUCUUAUUGAAAAAGAAGUUUGCGACCUCGAUGUUGAAUUAAAAUAUCUUUACAGUGUAGCCGUUGUAAGAAGAGGGUCUGUUCGACCUAUAAUUUUUUA
This 439-nucleotide ribosomal RNA is filed under the name Libinia emarginata (portly spider crab). RNAcentral describes it as "partial 16S ribosomal RNA". It matches the Rfam family "Bacterial large subunit ribosomal RNA", at positions 1956 to 2598 of the family's 2925-position model. Lineage: Eukaryota; Metazoa; Arthropoda; Malacostraca; Decapoda; Majidae. The record is from RNAcentral.